This 1554-nucleotide ribosomal RNA is filed under the name Staphylococcus aureus subsp. aureus M013. RNAcentral describes it as "16S ribosomal RNA". It matches the Rfam family "Bacterial small subunit ribosomal RNA". Lineage: Bacteria; Bacillati; Bacillota; Bacilli; Caryophanales; Staphylococcaceae. The record is from RNAcentral.
UUUAUGGAGAGUUUGAUCCUGGCUCAGGAUGAACGCUGGCGGCGUGCCUAAUACAUGCAAGUCGAGCGAACGGACGAGAAGCUUGCUUCUCUGAUGUUAGCGGCGGACGGGUGAGUAACACGUGGAUAACCUACCUAUAAGACUGGGAUAACUUCGGGAAACCGGAGCUAAUACCGGAUAAUAUUUUGAACCGCAUGGUUCAAAAGUGAAAGACGGUCUUGCUGUCACUUAUAGAUGGAUCCGCGCUGCAUUAGCUAGUUGGUAAGGUAACGGCUUACCAAGGCAACGAUGCAUAGCCGACCUGAGAGGGUGAUCGGCCACACUGGAACUGAGACACGGUCCAGACUCCUACGGGAGGCAGCAGUAGGGAAUCUUCCGCAAUGGGCGAAAGCCUGACGGAGCAACGCCGCGUGAGUGAUGAAGGUCUUCGGAUCGUAAAACUCUGUUAUUAGGGAAGAACAUAUGUGUAAGUAACUGUGCACAUCUUGACGGUACCUAAUCAGAAAGCCACGGCUAACUACGUGCCAGCAGCCGCGGUAAUACGUAGGUGGCAAGCGUUAUCCGGAAUUAUUGGGCGUAAAGCGCGCGUAGGCGGUUUUUUAAGUCUGAUGUGAAAGCCCACGGCUCAACCGUGGAGGGUCAUUGGAAACUGGAAAACUUGAGUGCAGAAGAGGAAAGUGGAAUUCCAUGUGUAGCGGUGAAAUGCGCAGAGAUAUGGAGGAACACCAGUGGCGAAGGCGACUUUCUGGUCUGUAACUGACGCUGAUGUGCGAAAGCGUGGGGAUCAAACAGGAUUAGAUACCCUGGUAGUCCACGCCGUAAACGAUGAGUGCUAAGUGUUAGGGGGUUUCCGCCCCUUAGUGCUGCAGCUAACGCAUUAAGCACUCCGCCUGGGGAGUACGACCGCAAGGUUGAAACUCAAAGGAAUUGACGGGGACCCGCACAAGCGGUGGAGCAUGUGGUUUAAUUCGAAGCAACGCGAAGAACCUUACCAAAUCUUGACAUCCUUUGACAACUCUAGAGAUAGAGCCUUCCCCUUCGGGGGACAAAGUGACAGGUGGUGCAUGGUUGUCGUCAGCUCGUGUCGUGAGAUGUUGGGUUAAGUCCCGCAACGAGCGCAACCCUUAAGCUUAGUUGCCAUCAUUAAGUUGGGCACUCUAAGUUGACUGCCGGUGACAAACCGGAGGAAGGUGGGGAUGACGUCAAAUCAUCAUGCCCCUUAUGAUUUGGGCUACACACGUGCUACAAUGGACAAUACAAAGGGCAGCGAAACCGCGAGGUCAAGCAAAUCCCAUAAAGUUGUUCUCAGUUCGGAUUGUAGUCUGCAACUCGACUACAUGAAGCUGGAAUCGCUAGUAAUCGUAGAUCAGCAUGCUACGGUGAAUACCUUCCCGGGUCUUGUACACACCGCCCGUCACACCACGAGAGUUUGUAACACCCGAAGCCGGUGGAGUAACCUUUUAGGAGCUAGCCGUCGAAGGUGGGACAAAUGAUUGGGGUGAAGUCGUAACAAGGUAGCCGUAUCGGAAGGUGCGGCUGGAUCACCUCCUUUCU